This 483-nucleotide ribosomal RNA is filed under the name uncultured bacterium. RNAcentral describes it as "partial 16S ribosomal RNA". It matches the Rfam family "Bacterial small subunit ribosomal RNA", at positions 30 to 506 of the family's 1533-position model. The record is from RNAcentral.
AUUGAACGCUGGCGGCAGGCCUAACACAUGCAAGUCGAGCGGAUGAAGGGAGCUUGCUCCUGGAUUCAGCGGCGGACGGGUGAGUAAUGCCUAGGAAUCUGCCUGGUAGUGGGGGAUAACGUCCGGAAACGGGCGCUAAUACCGCAUACGUCCUGAGGGAGAAAGUGGGGGAUCUUCGGACCUCACGCUAUCAGAUGAGCCUAGGUCGGAUUAGCUAGUUGGUGGGGUAAAGGCCUACCAAGGCGACGAUCCGUAACUGGUCUGAGAGGAUGAUCAGUCACACUGGAACUGAGACACGGGCCAAGAUCCUACGGGAGGCAGGAGGGGGGAAUAUUGGACAAUGGGGGAAAGCCUUGUCCAGCCAAGGCGCGGGUGGGAAGGAGGGCUUCGGAUUGUAAAGCACUUUAAGUUGGGAGGAAGGGCAGUAAGUUAAUACCUUGCUGUUUUGACGUUACCAACAGAAUAAGCACCGGCGAACUUCGU